RNAcentral lists this long non-coding RNA (616 nucleotides) under Mus musculus (house mouse). RNAcentral's name for it is "predicted gene 13266, transcript variant 3 (Gm13266)". The record is from RNAcentral. Lineage: Eukaryota; Metazoa; Chordata; Mammalia; Rodentia; Muridae.
AGUCACAAUUCCUCUGAGACCCUGAGAUCCUGGUGUGACCAAGCUUCUGGGAUGCUGGGAUCCUGGAAUCCUAAGAUCCUGGGCAUGUUAAAGCGCCUGGAAAUGGUACCUCCUCUGGAGACCAAGGGGCUGUCUGCUGUGUUCAAAAUCAAGAUAAAGAGCUCUUUAGAAGUUGGUUAUAUCUUACUGACUGACACUGACUUCACCUUCAUGAUUUUCUGCCAGCUGCAUCUCUAACAGAUGAGUGUUGAUCUCUGUUACACUAAAGUGUAUGUGUGCACAUGAAUGCAGGCACUCAUGGGGACCAAAAGAGGAAUACUUCGUGCCAGCAGAAGAAUCCAGCCUCUGUGACAACCAUAGAAAUGUGCUGUUCUUUAAUCGCUGGCUGACUCAGUUGUGGUGAACACCAGAGGAACAAGCUUUUUGGUUUAAGUUCUUUCUGUGUCUUUGGGUGGGCCAUCUUGUGUGUGGGGGCAAAUGGCAACAUGCAGUCAGGGUGGCUGUACAGGUGGCCCUUGGAGAAAGGACAGCUGUAAAUGCCCCCACCCCCACCCCGUUUGCAGAAAGCCAAGUUACUUCUUUCAUUUGGAGAGAAUGUAGCAAUUACUUGAAAUUA